Molecule: ribosomal RNA, 497 nt
Filed under: uncultured bacterium
Lineage: Bacteria
Description: partial 16S ribosomal RNA
Rfam family: Bacterial small subunit ribosomal RNA
Source: RNAcentral
GAUGAACGCUGGCGGCGUGCCUAAUACAUGCAAGUCGAGCGAACAGACGAGGAGCUUGCUCCUCUGACGUUAGCGGCGGACGGGUGAGUAACACGUGGAUAACCUACCUAUAAGACUGGGAUAACUUCGGGAAACCGGAGCUAAUACCGGAUAAUAUAUUGAACCGCAUGGUUCAAUAGUGAAAGACGGUUUUGCUGUCACUUAUAGAUGGAUCCGCGCCGCAUUAGCUAGUUGGUAAGGUAACGGCUUACCAAGGCAACGAUGCGUAGCCGACCUGAGAGGCUGAUCGGCCACACUGGAACUGAGACACGGUCCAGACUCCUACGGGAGGCAGCAGUAGGGAAUCUUCCGCAAUGGGCGAAAGCCUGACGGAGCAACGCAGCGUGGGUGAUGAGGGUCUUCGGAUCGUAGAACUCUGUUAUUAGGGAAGAACAAAUGUGUAAGUAACUAUGCACGUCUUGACGGUACCUAAUCAGAAAGCCACGGCUAACUACGUG